This 24-nucleotide non-coding RNA is filed under the name Gossypium hirsutum (cotton). Lineage: Eukaryota; Viridiplantae; Streptophyta; Magnoliopsida; Malvales; Malvaceae. The record is from RNAcentral.
GAGUCCAAGGCGGAUCGAGACAAC